Molecule: ribosomal RNA, 1403 nt
Filed under: uncultured bacterium
Lineage: Bacteria
Description: bacterial SSU rRNA
Rfam family: Bacterial small subunit ribosomal RNA
Source: RNAcentral
AGAGUUUGAUCCUGGCUCAGAUUGAACGCUGGCGGCAGGCCUAACACAUGCAAGUCGAACGGUAACAGGAAGAAGCUUGCUUCUUUGCUGACGAGUGGCGGACGGGUGAGUAAUGUCUGGGAAACUGCCUGAUGGAGGGGGAUAACUACUGGAAACGGUAGCUAAUACCGCAUAACGUCGCAAGACCAAAGAGGGGGACCUUCGGGCCUCUUGCCAUCGGAUGUGCCCAGAUGGGAUUAGCUUGUUGGUGGGGUAACGGCUCACCAAGGCGACGAUCCCUAGCUGGUCUGAGAGGAUGACCAGCCACACUGGAACUGAGACACGGUCCAGACUCCUACGGGAGGCAGCAGUGGGGAAUAUUGCACAAUGGGCGCAAGCCUGAUGCAGCCAUGCCGCGUGUAUGAAGAAGGCCUUCGGGUUGUAAAGUACUUUCAGCGGGGAGGAAGGGAGUAAAGUUAAUACCUUUGCUCAUUGACGUUACCCGCAGAAGAAGCACCGGCUAACUCCGUGCCAGCAGCCGCGGUAAUACGGAGGGUGCAAGCGUUAAUCGGAAUUACUGGGCGUAAAGCGCACGCAGGCGGUUUGUUAAGUCAGAUGUGAAAUCCCCGGGCUCAACCUGGGAACUGCAUCUGAUACUGGCAAGCUUGAGUCUCGUAGAGGGGGGUAGAAUUCCAGGUGUAGCGGUGAAAUGCGUAGAGAUCUGGAGGAAUACCGGUGGCGAAGGCGGCCCCCUGGACGAAGACUGACGCUCAGGUGCGAAAGCGUGGCCAGCAAACAGGGAUUUAGAUACCCUGGUAGUCCACGCCGUAAACGAUGUCGACUUGGAGGUUGUGCCCUUGAGGCGUGGCUUCCGGAGCUAACGCGUUAAGUCGACCGCCUGGGGAGUACGGCCGCAAGGUUAAAACUCAAAUGAAUUGACGGGGGCCCGCACAAGCGGUGGAGCAUGUGGUUUAAUUCGAUGCAACGCGAAGAACCUUACCUGGUCUUGACAUCCACGGAAGUUUUCAGAGAUGAGAAUGUGCCUUCGGGAACCGUGAGACAGGUGCUGCAUGGCUGUCGUCAGCUCGUGUUGUGAAAUGUUGGGUUAAGUCCCGCAACGAGCGCAACCCUUAUCCUUUGUUGCCAGCGGUCCGGCCGGGAACUCAAAGGAGACUGCCAGUGAUAAACUGGAGGAAGGUGGGGAUGACGUCAAGUCAUCAUGGCCCUUACGACCAGGGCUACACACGUGCUACAAUGGCGCAUACAAAGAGAAGCGACCUCGCGAGAGCAAGCGGACCUCAUAAAGUGCGUCGUAGUCCGGAUUGGAGUCUGCAACUCGACUCCAUGAAGUCGGAAUCGCUAGUAAUCGUGGAUCAGAAUGCCACGGUGAAUACGUUCCCGGGCCUUGCACACAAGGCCCGUCA